UUUCCGUAGGUGAACCUGCGGAAGGAUCAUUAUUGAAUGAUACACUUCGGGCUUUAUGCUGUUGUUCUGGCCCUUUGUGCAAUGUGAACACGGCUCUGGUCACUUGUUUCUUCUGUUCUACCUGUGCACUGCCUGGAGACACGUUGUGUCUAUGAGAUUUGUUACCACACAACAAUGUUACUUGGCAUCUUAUAUAUAAUAAGACAAUAUACAACUUUCAACAACGGAUCUCUUGGCUCUC
RNAcentral lists this unclassified non-coding RNA (241 nucleotides) under plant metagenome. RNAcentral describes it as "partial contains small subunit ribosomal RNA, internal transcribed spacer 1, and 5.8S ribosomal RNA". The record is from RNAcentral.